RNAcentral lists this long non-coding RNA (1721 nucleotides) under Homo sapiens (human). Its description in RNAcentral is "MAFA antisense RNA 1, transcript variant 3 (MAFA-AS1)". The record is from RNAcentral. Lineage: Eukaryota; Metazoa; Chordata; Mammalia; Primates; Hominidae.
CUGUCGUGUCCGCCUCUGCACUGGGAUUCCUCCAGCCCCAGCAAGUCCCUCAGGUGGUCCCAGCCUCUGUGUCCGCCUCUGCUCUCCCAGAGCGCCUCAGGCAGAGCAGCCAGGAUGGGGACCAGGCCCGCCUUACCGGGAAUGAGCCUGUCACCUGCUCCUCCCACCCCGCAGCAGCCUCUGUCGGGCUGACAGUGACUUCAGGAAUGCUCUCCUCCUGCCGCACUCUGGACCUGUUGGCCAUGCUGUUCAACUUAGCAAAUGUUCUUCCUCACCGCCAACCACAGUGGCCAGGUGCAAGUCCCUCUUGGACAACCUCAGCCCUGGAUACACCGCCUUAUUUACCACUUCAAAGGCCCAUCUGCCGACAAGACCACUGCCACCCUCUGCCACCCUCCACCACCCUCCGCCAGGUCACCAGAAUGCCAGGCCUCACUCAUGAUCAGCUGAGCACCAGCAGGCAGGUGAGAAGAGCCUCCAGUGUGGAGCAGGUCAACCAGCAACAGAGCCAGGGAGACCCAUGGAGUCCAGAGAAAACGAUGUGCAUAUAUCACUUCAAAAAAACAAAAGUGGAUGUGGCUGAUGCCAAAGUGACCUGCCCCAGAAGAGCUGCUAACAGAACAGCAUCCCAGGAGGCUGCAGAAGGCUGAAGAGCAGAGCCCACACCUGCUAUGGGCCACAAGAGGCCCUGGAUGCCAUGGAGGCCGCAAGGGCCCAGGCGGGACUUGCAGAAUGAGAGUCCUAGGCCCAAGUAUAGAGUCCCUGGUGGGCACAGAGGAGAGACCAGGUCAGUGGGAGGGGUUGUCAGACCCUGUGGAGUGCCCCACCUGUGUGCCAGGCCCAGAACUGGGCUCAACUCUGAUGGUAGCAGGUGGAAAGUAGACUUCACUACUGUGGGAGUGGGGGCAUUCCUGGACACAGGGGGAAACCAGCUCACAGAACAGCCUGGGGUCUUCUUGGAGGAGGCCAUUUUGGCCCAGAUCCUAAAGGAAGACUGGAAGCCUCAGGGGGCAGUGAGAACAGGGACAAGAGAGGGCAGGUCUCAGGACUGACUGAGCAACUCAGACUGACCUGGAUCAAACUGUGGAGCCGGCGAAGGGUUUAGAGGGUUGCUGCAGGACAGUGGUGUCUGCAAAGACGCCUCUGGCUGCUGUCUGGAAAAUAGACAGGGGAGGCUGGGCAGGGGUCUGGGCAGGGGCUGGACAGGGGUGCUGGGCAGGGGCUGGACAGGGGUGCUGGGCAGGGGCUGGACAGGGGUGCUGGGCAGGGGCUGGACAGGGGUGCUGGGCAGGGUCAGUCCAUCUCCAUCCUGCUUUCCUUUUCUUUCUUUUCAACAAAUAUUGAUGGAGCACCUCCUCGGUGCCAGGCGCUGCUGCAGCCUCUAGGAAAUCAACCGUGGAAACACACGGACCCUGCCCUCCCGGCGCCAGUGUUCUGGUGGUCAGGAGGUGAAGAAAACCAGCAAGAACCAGCACAGGAAUCCGACGGUGGCAGCGCCGAGAGAAACAAGCUUGGAGGGGAAGGAGAGCUACAGAGGCUGCAUGGAUGUGAUGGUUGGAGUGGAAGCUGACAUUGUGGGCCAGGAGACCCUGGGAGUACAGGCCAAGAUGAAAAGAGCCUCAAUCCAGAGCGUUCUGUGAAGCAGUCACCACGGCCACCCUGGGCCAUCAGCUUCUGGACUUUUACAACAUAGAAAUUAAAUUUCCAUUGAAUUUGUUGGA